AGCGAACGCUGGCGGCAGGCUUAACACAUGCAAGUCGAGCGGGCAUCCUUGUGGUGUCAGCGGCAGACGGGUGAGUAACGCGUGGGAACGUGCCCUUCGGUUCGUAAUAACUUAGGGCAACUUGUGCUAAUACCGGAUAUGCGCGAGAGCAGAAAGGUUUAUCUGCCGAAGGAUCGGCCCGCGUCUGAUUAGCUAGUUGGUGAGGUUACGGCUCACCAAGGCGACGAUCAGUAGCUGGUCUGAGAGGAUGCUCCGCCACACUGGGACUGAGACACGGCCCAGACUCCUACGGGAGGCAGCAGUGGGGAAUCUUGGACGAUGGGGGCAACCCUGAUCCAGCCAUGACGCGUGAGUGAUGCCGGCCUUAGGGUUGUAAAGCUCUUUUCUCCGGGACGAUAAUGACGGUACCGGAGGAAUAAGCCCCGGCUAACUUCGUG
RNAcentral lists this ribosomal RNA (437 nucleotides) under uncultured bacterium. Its description in RNAcentral is "partial 16S ribosomal RNA". It matches the Rfam family "Bacterial small subunit ribosomal RNA", at positions 29 to 507 of the family's 1533-position model. The record is from RNAcentral.